This 468-nucleotide ribosomal RNA is filed under the name uncultured bacterium. Its description in RNAcentral is "partial 16S ribosomal RNA". It matches the Rfam family "Bacterial small subunit ribosomal RNA", at positions 28 to 507 of the family's 1533-position model. The record is from RNAcentral.
GAUGGACGCUGGCGGCGUGCUUAACACAUGCAAGUCGAACGGAAAGGCCCAAGCUUGCUUGGGUACUCGAGUGGCGAACGGGUGAGUAACACGUGGGUGAUCUGCCCUGCACUUCGGGAUAAGCCUGGGAAACUGGGUCUAAUACCGGAUAGGACGAUGGUUUGGAUGCCAUUGUGGAAAGUUUUUUCGGUGUGGGAUGAGCUCGCGGCCUAUCAGCUUGUUGGUGGGGUAAUGGCCUACCAAGGCGUCGACGGGUAGCCGGCCUGAGAGGGUGUACGGCCACAUUGGGACUGAGAUACGGCCCAGACUCCUACGGGAGGCAGCAGUGGGGAAUAUUGCACAAUGGGCGCAAGCCUGAUGCAGCGACGCCGCGUGGGGGAUGACGGCCUUCGGGUUGUAAACUCCUUUCGCUAGGGACGAAGCGUUUUUGUGACGGUACCUGGAGAAGAAGCACCGGCUAACUACGUG